This 367-nucleotide unclassified non-coding RNA is filed under the name Acacia translucens. RNAcentral's name for it is "partial external transcribed spacer". Lineage: Eukaryota; Viridiplantae; Streptophyta; Magnoliopsida; Fabales; Fabaceae. The record is from RNAcentral.
CGAUCCGCGUCGCGCCUCUUGACGCGGGACGGUUCCCCCAGAGGCCGGUUCUUGUGCUGCCUACCCCUUCAAGGGAAGCAGGCCGCUUGGUGUAAGCCUCCAUCCGGCGCCUUCCAAUGGGCGCAGGAGGACAACGGAGCACCCCCCGCGUUCCANCGAGCCUCAGUCGGUCGCGUGGCCCGCGGGGACGUGCGAUGCUCUCGGACCCAGCACACGCCGUGGGCGAGGACUCACGUCCCAGUCCCAAGUGAAGCUCCGAUAUAACGAACGACGGCCGCUCCCGCCCCCCGACCGCCCCGGCGGCGCGGGUGCGAGGCGCGGCGUCGCCGAGGAAUGCUACCUGGUUGAUCCUGCCAGUAGUCAUAUC